GGAGGCAUGGUUCAAGUAGUAGAACACCAACCUAGCAAGUCCAAGGUCCUGAGUUCAAAUCCUAGUACCACCA
RNAcentral lists this transfer RNA (73 nucleotides) under Dipodomys ordii (Ord's kangaroo rat). It matches the Rfam family "tRNA". Rfam says of the family: Transfer RNA (tRNA) molecules are approximately 80 nucleotides in length. Their secondary structure includes four short double-helical elements and three loops (D, anti-codon, and T loops). Lineage: Eukaryota; Metazoa; Chordata; Mammalia; Rodentia; Heteromyidae. The record is from Rfam by way of RNAcentral.